UACGUAGGGGGCAAGCGUUGUCCGGAUUUAUUGGGCGUAAAGAGCGUGUAGGCGGUUUGGUAGGUCCGUUGUGAAAACUCGAGGCUCAACCUCGAGACGUCGGUUGAAACCGUUUGGCUAGAGUCCGGAAGAGGAGAGUGGAAUUCCCGGUGUAGCGGUGAAAUGCGCAGAUAUCGGGAAGAACACCCGUGGCGAAGGCGGCUCUCUGGGACGGUACUGACGCUGAGACGCGAAAGCGUGGGGAGCGAACAGG
RNAcentral lists this ribosomal RNA (253 nucleotides) under uncultured bacterium. RNAcentral's name for it is "partial 16S ribosomal RNA". It matches the Rfam family "Bacterial small subunit ribosomal RNA", at positions 524 to 776 of the family's 1533-position model. The record is from RNAcentral.